UCCGAGUUGUCCCCGGCAGUCCUCUUAGAGUCCCCGGCAUUACCCGUUGGCAACUAAUGAUAAGGGUUGCGCUCGUUGCGGGACUUAACCCAACACCUCACGGCACGAGCUGACGACAGCCAUGCAGCACCUGUGCAGCAGUCCCGAAGGAAAGACUCAUCUCUGAGCCGGUCUACUGCAUGUCAAGCCUGGGUAAGGUUCUUCGCGUUGCAUCGAAUUAAACCACAUGCUCCACUGCUUGUGCGGGUCCCCGUCAAUUCUUUUGAGUUUCGGCCUUGCGACUGUACUCCCCAGGCGGUAUACUUAACGCGUUAGCUCCGGCACAACUGGGGUUGAAUCCAGCUACACCAAGUAUACAUAGUUUACAGCAAGGACUAC
This 378-nucleotide unclassified non-coding RNA is filed under the name uncultured Parachlamydiaceae bacterium. Its description in RNAcentral is "contains 16S-23S intergenic spacer region". The record is from RNAcentral. Lineage: Bacteria; Pseudomonadati; Chlamydiota; Chlamydiia; Parachlamydiales; Parachlamydiaceae.